CGAGAAAACUUUGCAAUGUGCGAAAGCACGACAAGGUUAAUCCGAGUGGUUUCUGCUAAAGGAACCUUUUGUCGGUCCUAGAAACACCGAUGAAUAAGGGGGUGGGCAAGUUCUGGUGUCAGCCGCCGCGGUAAAACCAGCACCUCAAGUGGUCAGGAUGAUUAUUGGGCCUAAAGCAUCCGUAGCCGGCUCUGUUAGUUUUCGGUUAAUACUGUACGCUCAACGUAACAGGCGUGCCGGGAAGUACUGCAGAGCUAGGGAGGUGGGAGGAGGUAGACGGUACGUCGGUAGGAAGGGGUAAAAGUACCUUUGUAUCUAUU
RNAcentral lists this ribosomal RNA (320 nucleotides) under uncultured euryarchaeote. RNAcentral describes it as "bacterial SSU rRNA". It matches the Rfam family "Archaeal small subunit ribosomal RNA", at positions 340 to 651 of the family's 1478-position model. Lineage: Archaea; Methanobacteriati; Methanobacteriota. The record is from RNAcentral.